This 253-nucleotide ribosomal RNA is filed under the name uncultured bacterium. Its description in RNAcentral is "partial 16S ribosomal RNA". It matches the Rfam family "Bacterial small subunit ribosomal RNA", at positions 524 to 776 of the family's 1533-position model. The record is from RNAcentral.
GACGAACCGUGCGAACGUUGUUCGGAUUCACUGGGCUUAAAGGGCGCGUAGGCGGUCCGACAAGUCAGGGGUGAAAUCCUGCAGCUUAACUGCAGAAGUGCCUUUGAUACUGUCGGUCUCGAGGGAGAUAGGGGUGUGCGGAACUUCCAGUGGAGCGGUGAAAUGCGUUGAUAUUGGAAGGAACGCCGGAGGCGAAAGCGGCGCACUGGAUCUCUUCUGACGCUGAGGCGCGAAAGCUAGGGGAGCAAACGGG